GGGCCCUAUAGCACUAGUUUUGCUCCAAAUUAUAGAAUAAUGCCUUGGCUUCUUAUAAUUUGUCCAAGAUCUAUUGAAGCAAUACUUUGUAGCAACUACUCUGGCCUAGAGAGUAUUUGCAUGAAUAACUAGUUGAGCUACCAACUUGCAAAGAUAGGCUUGCUUUUUAACAUCAAAAGAGGUCAGCCCAAGACCUCCAAGUCUUUUGGACAUGCAAACAGUGUCCCAUCAAAUUAAAUGAAACCCCC
RNAcentral lists this long non-coding RNA (248 nucleotides) under Elaeis guineensis (African oil palm). Its description in RNAcentral is "long non-coding RNA (EGUI_LNC036196)". The record is from RNAcentral. Lineage: Eukaryota; Viridiplantae; Streptophyta; Magnoliopsida; Arecales; Arecaceae.